Molecule: signal recognition particle RNA, 297 nt
Filed under: Carlito syrichta (Philippine tarsier)
Lineage: Eukaryota; Metazoa; Chordata; Mammalia; Primates; Tarsiidae
Description: Metazoan signal recognition particle RNA (ENSTSYG00000033352.1)
Rfam family: Metazoan signal recognition particle RNA
About the family: The signal recognition particle (SRP) is a universally conserved ribonucleoprotein.
Source: RNAcentral
GCCAGGUGUGGUUUCACACACCUAUAAUUCCAGCUACCGGGAAAGCCAAGGUAGAAGGAUUGCUUGAGUGCAAGAGUUCUGGUCUGUGGUGUGCUUUGCCAAUCAGGUGUCUGCACUGUUGGUCAUCAGUAUGGUGACCUCUGAGGAGCCAAGGGUUAUCAGGUUGCCCAAGGAGGAAUGAACUGGCCCAGGUCCAAAAUGGAGCUGGUCAAAACUCUGGUGCUGAUCAAUAGUGGGAUUGUGCCUGUGAAUAGCCACCGUACUCCAGCCUGGGCAACAUAGCAAUAUCCCAUCUCU